AGCUUUAUUAGGGUUAAUAGAUAUAGAAGAGAAAGAGCAUAGUGAAGAAAAAAAUAUAUUUAUUAUUGAAAGAGGAUGUUGUUAUAUAUUGUUUAGAAUUUACACAAGUGGCUCAUUAAUUUUUCUACUCUCUUGUUGAUCACAGCAAAUUGACAUGGUAGAAAAAUCUAAGAAUUUUGAAGAAUAUCUAUGCCAUCUUUCAACUUCUAAUUCCCAAGUAAGCCUAAACUCAUUCUAAUUUAUUAUUCUUUGUUUCCCUUCUAUGACUAAUAUUAUUACUGGUGAUGAAAAUAGAAUGACCUGAUAAAAGAAUAUGAAAACUUUGAGGAAGAUCAAAGCAAUCCUUGUAAGAAACAAAAGAGACAUGGAACAUAGGUAGGGAACUACGUCUCACGUCAAUGACUAAUGACAAGUAGGUUUUAGGGGAAAAUCAUGGAGAUCCAAAGUAAGAAAACGAGCCAAUUGGCUAAUCGGAGGCAACUGAAAGAACAAAAAUUGGAUAAAAGUGGAGCUUGUAGAAGAAAGACAAAAAUUGUGGAAUAGUCCCUAAGAAGCCAACUCGUUUUGUGUUUUGAAAGAUCAAGAACCAAAGAAAUCGGAGUUGGAUCGGGGAAAAGCUAAAGUCGUCGACUAAUCGUCCAGUUUCGAUUUUUCAUUAUUCGAGGUAAGUCUAUUAGCUAUUUAAUGUUAUUAAAUCGGUAUAUAUGUAUGUAAAUGUAUUGUAUUUUUGUUGAAAUUUAAUUUAAAAGUAUAUUGAUUGAAAUAAAAUAAAGUAUGAAUGAUAUACAUGUAUUAUUAAUGUUCGAAUAUAUAUAGGUUUAUACUUAUA
Long non-coding RNA from Gossypium raimondii (Peruvian cotton), 829 nucleotides. RefSeq lists it as uncharacterized. The record is from RefSeq and is a predicted model, not a curated record. The transcript has 3 exons. Lineage: Eukaryota; Viridiplantae; Streptophyta; Magnoliopsida; Malvales; Malvaceae.